AAAGUCGUAACAGGUUUCCGUAGGUGAACCUGCGGAAGGAUCAUUAACACGUAUCCAACGUUAAAACCCCCCUGAGCCUUCAGUGCUCGGCCCGAACAGUUUUGAUUCAUCAACCCUGUGCAUGAAAACGGGCCUGCUUAAAUGUGGGAACAACUGUUAACAAUGGAUAUCUUGGUUCUC
Molecule: unclassified non-coding RNA, 180 nt
Filed under: Cercozoa sp.
Lineage: Eukaryota; Cercozoa
Description: partial contains small subunit ribosomal RNA, internal transcribed spacer 1, and 5.8S ribosomal RNA
Rfam family: Eukaryotic small subunit ribosomal RNA (bases 1-46)
Source: RNAcentral